Molecule: long non-coding RNA, 684 nt
Organism: Cryptomeria japonica (Japanese cedar)
Lineage: Eukaryota; Viridiplantae; Streptophyta; Pinopsida; Cupressales; Cupressaceae
Exons: 3
Source: RefSeq, a predicted model, not a curated record
CUUCCAGACAUUGACUCCGGCAGUUCUGUCCAACUCUUAGCAGGUGCACAUCAUAACGGCGUUGAAAUCAAACGCGGACGACUUAAUGUCAUGGUUUCUACAAGAAACUUUCCGCUUAAGAUACCUAAGAAAAUUCAUUCAUCUUCGAUUUCAAUUGCUUUUAUGUUUUACAUUUCUUAUAGGUGAAUUCGAUCUAUACUCCUUUUCAGAGAAGUUGGAAUAGCAGUCGCAGUACUGAAUCAAGGUCGAAAAUGUCGCAAAUAACAACCUUUCAUGACAUUUCAGGGAUUUGCAACCAUGAAGCAAAGAUCCUUGGCCUGAAGGAAAAACUUGGACUUGAAAGAGUUGAAAUCCAUACCAAAAGGAACGUAAGCUUUCACCACCGCAAAACUAUACCAGUCUCUCGCAUAUAAAAUGCUCUGAGAGAUCUGGGCUUACAGUUGGAGCCCCACUCCUAUACAAUAUAUGAGUAAAAGCUAAAGCCACGGACUCUGGAACGGCUAUCUGAUGGUGAAUACAGAGGAUAGUUGAUAUUGAUGCCUGCUUCUUGUCCAGUGAACUUUUCUUAUAUAGAAAUUCCAAAAGACUUCAAAUAGUAUUUAUAGUAAAUAUCUUGGUAGCAUUAGGUACAGUUGUUAAAGUAUUCUUCAAAAACUCUAAUAUAGUUAAAAAAUAACUUUGCUU